Molecule: long non-coding RNA, 387 nt
Organism: Dicentrarchus labrax (European seabass)
Lineage: Eukaryota; Metazoa; Chordata; Actinopteri; Moronidae
Exons: 3
Source: RefSeq, a predicted model, not a curated record
AUCCAGCCAUGCUUGGACUGGAGGUCUUCCUUGCAGACCCGCCCACAAGCUCCUCGAUUGGCUCUGCCGUUUGUUGUGUGAUUGGCCGUCCCCGCUGUCACUCCAUCUUGCUUGCACACCGGUCUGCUGGAGUUGCCCAGUGAUUGGAUGUCGAUGAUGCUGCGCACACUGAUUGGAUGUGGGAACCGACCGGUGGGUAGGUCCAAUUCCUGGGUCCAUUCAUAGCCAUCUACUGCUUAGUCUUGAAUCUUGAUCUGUUGCACUGCUCAACAAUAAUUUUUCAAAUACGCCACCUGUACAAUCCAAGUACAAGUCCUACUUAUUGGUUAAUAACAAGAAAAUACCAAGGACAACAGAAUACAGACACAUGAAGGUAAUUAUAAGUGG